RNAcentral lists this ribosomal RNA (497 nucleotides) under uncultured bacterium. Its description in RNAcentral is "partial 16S ribosomal RNA". It matches the Rfam family "Bacterial small subunit ribosomal RNA", at positions 28 to 507 of the family's 1533-position model. The record is from RNAcentral.
GACGAACGCUGGCGGCGUGCCUAAUACAUGCAAGUUGAGCGCUGAAGGUUGGUCCUUGUACCAACUGGAUGAGCAGCGAACGGGUGAGUAACGCGUGGGGAAUCUGCCUUUGAGCGGGGGACAACAUUUGGAAACGAAUGCUAAUACCGCAUAAAAACUUUAAACACAAGUUUUAAGUUUGAAAGAUGCAAUUGCAUCACUCAAAGAUGAUCCCGCGUUGUAUUAGCUAGUUGGUGAGGUAAAGGCUCACCAAGGCGAUGAUACAUAGCCGACCUGAGAGGGUGAUCGGCCACAUUGGGACUGAGACACGGCCCAAACUCCUACGGGAGGCAGCAGUAGGGAAUCGUCGGCAAUGGACGAAAGUCUGACCGAGCAACGCCGCGUGAGUGAAGAAGGUUUUCGGAUCGUAAAACUCUGUUGGUAGAGAAGAACGUUGGUGAGAGUGGAAAGCUCAUCAAGUGACGGUAACUACCCAGAAAGGGACGGCUAACUACGUG